UUCCAGCGCGUUUUUUGUGGUUUUUUUUUUUUAUUUUCUAUUCAAAUUUUUUAUUUGUUUUCUUUUUAUUUUUCAGACACUUCAUCACUUUUGCAGUUGCCCGGCCUGCAAAAGCUGCAAUGUUGCUGACAAAGCUGUCACUGUCACUGUGGGAUGUUGGCUGCCGUUUUUGCUGCUACUGUUGCUGUUGUUAUUGUCACUGCUAGCUUUUAUUGUUACAACUGGUAUUGCUGGUGCAAUUUUUUUUUGUUUGGUUUUGUUUUUUUGCUUUUUUUUUAGUUUUUCGAAACUUUUUUUUUUUUUGUGUGGUUUUUUUUUUUUUAGAUUCUGCGUGGGACACUCUAACGUCGCUGCUUCGACAAAAAAGCGGGCCACAGAACGCAGCGAUUCGUAAAACUAGAAAAUCACAAAAACUAAAAAUCACAAGAACGUGACACUCACCCAACCUACGCUGGUUGUUGUUGUUGUUAGGAAAUAGUUGCAGUUGAUUUUUUGCAUUAAAAUUUCAAAGUUCUUCUGAGUCAAUAUGCGCUAGGUGUUUUUUCGCUGUUGUGGUUUUGAGAACUUUAGUGCUUUUUGUUGUUGUAUUGCAAGUUUUUUUUAAGUGACGUUUUCAUUACACAUUUGUUGCUGCAUGAAUUGGCGCUGUUUUUGCUUUAAAGUUCAUAUUUACAUACAUACAUACAUACAUACAUAUAUAAGUACAUAUGUACAUACAAUUGUCGAUACAUAAGUACAAAUGUUCCUCUAUUUUUUUGAUGGUUUUUACUUUGUAGUAUUCAGAGUAAUUUUACAUUCGUUGCAACAUUUUUUUAUUUCACUUUUAUUGAUUUUAUGCUCUAGAAUGAUAAAAUUCUCAUCGACAAGUUUUAAGAGAUGGUUGAAGUGAGGUGAGUUGAGGUGAGCUGAGUUGAAGUAAGUUACGGUGAGUUGAGGUGAGGUGAGUUGCAGUGUAUUAAGGUAAAAUGACGUGAAAUGAGUUGAGGUGAGGUGAGUUGCGGUGUAUUUAGAUGAGAUGAGGUGAGGUGAAUUAAGUGAAGGUAAGUUAUGUCGUACAUAACAGUUUUGGUGUUUCCAUUCUCAAAGUUUUACAGCUUACUCCAUAAAGUUUGAUAC
Molecule: long non-coding RNA, 1116 nt
Organism: Rhagoletis zephyria (snowberry fruit fly)
Lineage: Eukaryota; Metazoa; Arthropoda; Insecta; Diptera; Tephritidae
Source: RefSeq, a predicted model, not a curated record